RNAcentral lists this ribosomal RNA (533 nucleotides) under uncultured bacterium. RNAcentral's name for it is "bacterial SSU rRNA". It matches the Rfam family "Bacterial small subunit ribosomal RNA", at positions 72 to 604 of the family's 1533-position model. The record is from RNAcentral.
AGCUUGCUUCCAGGCGUCGAGCGGCGGACGGGUGAGUAAUGCAUGGGAAUCUGCCCGAUAGUGGGGGAUAACCUGGGGAAACCCAGGCUAAUACCGCAUACGUCCUACGGGAGAAAGCAGGGGAUCUUCGGACCUUGCGCUAUCGGAUGAGCCCAUGUCGGAUUAGCUUGUUGGUGAGGUAAUGGCUCACCAAGGCGACGAUCCGUAGCUGGUCUGAGAGGAUGAUCAGCCACAUCGGGACUGAGACACGGCCCGAACUCCUACGGGAGGCAGCAGUGGGGAAUAUUGGACAAUGGGCGAAAGCCUGAUCCAGCCAUGCCGCGUGUGUGAAGAAGGCCUUCGGGUUGUAAAGCACUUUCAGUGGGGAAGAAGGCCUUGGGAUUAAUACUCCCGAGGAAGGACAUCACCCACAGAAGAAGCACCGGCUAACUCCGUGCCAGCAGCCGCGGUAAUACGGAGGGUGCGAGCGUUAAUCGGAAUUGCUGGGCGUAAAGCGCGCGUAGGCGGUCUGAUAAGCCGGUUGUGAAAGCCCC